Molecule: ribosomal RNA, 253 nt
Filed under: uncultured bacterium
Lineage: Bacteria
Description: partial 16S ribosomal RNA
Rfam family: Bacterial small subunit ribosomal RNA
Source: RNAcentral
UACGUAGGGUGCGAGCGUUAAUCGGAAUUACUGGGCGUAAAGCGUGCGCAGGCGGUUCGUUGUGUCGGUGGUGAAAGCCCCGGGCUUAACCUGGGAAUGGCCAUGGAAACUGGCGAACUGGAGUAUUGCAGGGGAGACUGGAAUUCCUGGUGUAGCGGUGAAAUGCGCAGAUAUCAGGAGGAACACCGGUGGCGAAGGCGGGUCUCUGGGCAAUAACUGACGCUGAGGAGCGAAAGCGUGGGGAGCGAACAGG